GCGGAUGUAGCCAAGUGGAUCAAGGCAGUGGAUUGUGAAUUCACCAUGCGCGGGUUCAAUUCCCGUCGUUCGC
RNAcentral lists this transfer RNA (73 nucleotides) under Meliosma rigida. Its description in RNAcentral is "tRNA-His". It matches the Rfam family "tRNA". From Rfam's summary of the family: Transfer RNA (tRNA) molecules are approximately 80 nucleotides in length. Their secondary structure includes four short double-helical elements and three loops (D, anti-codon, and T loops). The record is from RNAcentral. Lineage: Eukaryota; Viridiplantae; Streptophyta; Magnoliopsida; Proteales; Sabiaceae. RNAcentral also lists the same sequence under 2 other names.